This 736-nucleotide ribosomal RNA is filed under the name bacterium. RNAcentral describes it as "bacterial SSU rRNA". It matches the Rfam family "Bacterial small subunit ribosomal RNA", at positions 73 to 823 of the family's 1533-position model. The record is from RNAcentral.
GCCAAGCUUGCUUGGUGGAUCAGUGGCGAACGGGUGAGUAACACGUGAGCAACCUGCCCUGGACUCUGGGAUAAGCGCUGGAAACGGCGUCUAAUACUGGAUAUGAGCUCUCAUCGCAUGGUGGGGGUUGGAAAGAUUUUUCGGUCUGGGAUGGGCUCGCGGCCUAUCAGCUUGUUGGUGAGGUAAUGGCUCACCAAGGCGUCGACGGGUAGCCGGCCUGAGAGGGUGACCGGCCACACUGGGACUGAGACACGGCCCAGACUCCUACGGGAGGCAGCAGUGGGGAAUAUUGCACAAUGGGCGGAAGCCUGAUGCAGCAACGCCGCGUGAGGGAUGACGGCCUUCGGGUUGUAAACCUCUUUUAGCAGGGAAGAAGCGAGAGUGACGGUACCUGCAGAAAAAGCGCCGGCUAACUACGUGCCAGCAGCCGCGGUAAUACGUAGGGCGCAAGCGUUAUCCGGAAUUAUUGGGCGUAAAGAGCUCGUAGGCGGUUUGUCGCGUCUGCUGUGAAAUCCCGAGGCUCAACCUCGGGCCUGCAGUGGGUACGGGCAGACUAGAGUGCGGUAGGGGAGAUUGGAAUUCCUGGUGUAGCGGUGGAAUGCGCAGAUAUCAGGAGGAACACCGAUGGCGAAGGCAGAUCUCUGGGCCGUAACUGACGCUGAGGAGCGAAAGGGUGGGGAGCAAACAGGCUUAGAUACCCUGGUAGUCCACCCCGUAAACGUUGGGAACUAGUUGU